AAUGUUUAAGAAGAACGCCCCAAACAAUAUCUUACUUUGUUGAUGAUAUAUUUUUUUGUUUGACAAGGCAUCAAUAAGGAAACUUUUCUCAAGGAUCUGACAGCGUCCAAGGCAGCCAAGGACUGCCUGGCCAGAACGCAAAAUCAAUCUUUGCAGAGCUUAUCAGGCUAUAAAUAAAGAGCUGAAUAUAUUGAAAACUGCUGAAGUCAUGCCACACGUGAUUGUAAGGUGCUCUAUUGUUUUUUAACGGGGUGCUGCCAAAGACAUAUUACGUAAUAAGUUGAAACAAUUCAACAGUAUGUGUGUGGGUGUGUAUGUGUGCGUGUGUUGGAAAGCGACUGAGUGUGAGGGCCACAGGACGCGCGUCGAAAGUCAACAACAACGAUCGAGUUGGCAACGCCAAAUUGAAGCGAAUGAACGGAAGCAAAUGCCAAGCAAAUGUUGGAAAAUGCAUACAAACAUAUUUAUUUAUUGCGGGGAAGCUGGGUGUGCGUGUGCGUGCGCGACAGCCAGUCUGCGCUUAUCAAGGCAAGGCCAGCGAGAAAUUCGUGGCCAACAUCAGCAACAGACCCAUUUGGAGCCCAUCAGCUGUGCCGUAGAAAUACAUAGCUAGCAGCAGCUACGCGAGUCGCGACCAGUCGUCGAUGAUUGUUGCUGCUGCUGCUGCUACUGCUGCGAUGUCUUUGUCAAAAAAAGCUUUAACUGGCUGCGAAUGCGAUUGAUUGGAGGCGCCGCACGGUUUGGAACGCGUUAACAUUCCAGUUGCGCGACACAAACACACACAAAUUUUUGUUGUUGUUUUUUAUUUGCCCGAAUAUUACUUGAUUAUUCACUUUUUGGCAUCAUA
This is a long non-coding RNA of Drosophila montana, 847 nucleotides long. RefSeq lists it as uncharacterized. The record is from RefSeq and is a predicted model, not a curated record. The transcript is spliced from 3 exons. NCBI's taxonomy places the organism in Eukaryota, Metazoa, Arthropoda, Insecta, Diptera, Drosophilidae.